RNAcentral lists this small nuclear RNA (133 nucleotides) under Zalophus californianus (California sea lion). RNAcentral's name for it is "U4 spliceosomal RNA (ENSZCAG00015010501.1)". It matches the Rfam family "U4 spliceosomal RNA". From Rfam's summary of the family: U4 small nuclear RNA (U4 snRNA) is a component of the major U2-dependent spliceosome. The structure of U4 snRNA from yeast and human has been reported. Lineage: Eukaryota; Metazoa; Chordata; Mammalia; Carnivora; Otariidae. The record is from RNAcentral.
AGCUUUGCGCAGUGGCAGUAUUGUAGCCAAUGAGGUUUAUCUGAGGCGCGAUUAUUGCUAAUUGGAAUAAUGUCUUUUCAAGUCCUUUGUGAAUGGGCUCCCUUCUAAGAAAAUGUGGCUUUAAUCAAAAAUA